UGGGGAAUUUUGGACAAUGGGGGCAACCCUGAUCCAGCCAUGCCGCGUGCGGGAAGAAGGCCUUCGGGUUGUAAACCGCUUUUGUCGGGGAAGAAACGGUCUGCGCUAAUACCGCGGGCUAAUGACGGUACCCGAAGAAUAAGCACCGGCUAACUACGUGCCAGCAGCCGCGGUAAUACGUAGGGUGCAAGCGUUAAUCGGAAUUACUGGGCGUAAAGCGUGCGCAGGCGGCUUUGCAAGACAGAUGUGAAAUCCCCGGGCUUAACCUGGGAACUGCAUUUGUGACUGCAUGGCUGGAGUGCGGCAGAGGGGGAUGGAAUUCCGCGUGUAGCAGUGAAAUGCGUAGAUAUGCGGAGGAACACCGAUGGCGAAGGCAAUCCCCUGGGCCUGCACUGACGCUCAUGCACGAAAGCGUGGGGAGCAAACAGG
Molecule: ribosomal RNA, 429 nt
Filed under: uncultured bacterium
Lineage: Bacteria
Description: bacterial SSU rRNA
Rfam family: Bacterial small subunit ribosomal RNA
Source: RNAcentral